UUAAGAUUGCGCUAUGCCCUGAACAAACAGAGCAGGAGGCAGACAGAGACAAUUUACUGCCUAAAAAUUUGGGAUGAAGAGAUGAACAAAUAGAAAAGCAGAACACCAUAGCAGAGAUGCAUUGCUGAAAGUCAGGAACAGAAGAAUUAAGAUUUGACUGAAAUCUGAUGGCAAGUUUGUGAACAGUCAAGUUGUGGCCCAGACCUCCCUCCAACUCUUUUGGUCAGUAGCAGAGUCUGUGGCAGAUGCUGGGCAGCUGUGAACAGAUCAGAAGCUGGUAUACCAAAUGCCAGAGCAGACCGUGGCAUUAGGAAGCAGAAGUUGUAGACAUGAAUUGGAACAGAAAAAAUCAAGAGACUAGUUAGAAAAGCUAAGUAUUCCAAGGUUUUAUAAGAAGUUUACUGAAGUUGCUGAUUUGUGUGAAUUGAUGCAAUAGUCUGAAUAUUGAAAUUCCUGGAUGUGUUAUGAUGCUGAAAAUUAAAAAAGGCAAAUUCCUAGCACAGGGGUCUUUAAAUGUGAAACUGAUAGAAUGGAUGUGAAGGGAGAGCUAUUGCAUUUCCAGGAGGGAGGCAGAAUGUCAACAUCAAAUGGGAAGAUACCACCUUUUGUUAUCUCUAAUGUAAAAUUUCUUCUAUAAAAUACAGCCAGAGCAUGUGCUUAAUUUAUCAGCCUGUUUAUAGGCAUACGUGGUUAAGGCUUUUGCCAUAGUUGUUUGAGGUUUUUUCUAAAUUUGUAUUAUCUUAGUAUGUCUGCUCUUGUUGUUUGGUUAGUUCCAGCUGUAUAAGUAGUAAAUUUAUUUCUUCUGUCACUUCUGACUUGCACCUGCUCCUUUUGAAUUUCGUCCAUUGGCAUCUCUCUUUGGCCUUAGUCUAAAGUCCUUAAUUUAUACAGCAUUUGACAGAACAUUUCCAGAAGUCUGUUACCAUAGUCUUCCCCUCCAGUGAACUCAGUACUUGUUUGUUCAGCAUGUAUUGCAUAAAGACUAAAAGAUGUUGAAUAUAAAGGCUCCCUAGCUUCCGGAACAAUUCCAUAUCUGUGUAUCUAAUCAGAGUUGUGUUUCUCACUCCAGGCUGGUAAAAACCAAAUUGCCAUAGAGCUCAGUAAAGACUGAUUUUGCAGGUGCAUCUUUUGUAGCUGUGCUUGUAAAUAUGACUUCUGGGAUGUUUGGAAGGCAGUUUCAAGCACCUCCAGAGAAGAAAUUCAUUAUGAAGAGCAGAAUAAAUGCAAAUAUUAAAGUUACCACUGACUGUUAGAAGCCACAAUAUUUGAUAGCAUUUGUGAGAAAUUUUAUGUGUGUCUAUACAAACUGCAGAUUUUAAAACUUUUUUUUUUGAGGGGAGGGGAACUGAAGUAAGUUUAUGAAAUCUUUUAAAGUAUUCUGAAAACAUAAUACUGGGAUCUAAUAUUUGUUUUCUUGGAAUGAGAACAUGUUUAACUCUGGCCACACAUUUUUAUAAAAUGCAGAUACAUAGGAGCAGAGAGGAGAUUGCUUUUUAAGGAAUAAAGUUGACACACAACAAUGUGUCUUUGCAGCCCAGAAAGCCAGCUGAAUUCUGGGCUGCAUCCAAAGCAAUGUGACCACUAGGAAGGGGAUCCUAUCCCUCUUCUGUGCUCUGGUGAGAUCCUACCUGGAGCACUGCAUCCAGCUCUGGGAUCCACAGCACAAUAAGGACACAGGGGAGGCCAUGAAGAUGGUCAGGACUGGAGCACUUUUCCUAUGAGGACAGACUUAAGGAGUUGGAUUUGUUCAGCUGGGAGAAGACUCCGGGAGAUCAUAUUGCACCUUCCAGUAUCUGAAUAGGUCCUAAAAAUAGCUGGAGAGGGGCUUUUUACAAGGGCAUGGAGAGAUAAGAAUAGGAGUAAUAAUUUCAAACAGAAGGAGGGUAGGUUUGUAUUAGAUAUUAGGAAGAAAUUCUUCACUAUAAGGGAGGUGAGGCACUGGCACAGUUGCCAAGAGAAGUAGCAGAUGAAGUGUUCAAAGCCAGGUUGGGUGGGUCAUUAAGCAAUUUAGUCUCAUGGAAGUUGUCCCUGCUCAUGGCAGGGAAGUUGGAACAAGAUGACCUUUAUGUCCCUUCCAACCUAAGCCAUUCUUUGAUCCUAUGACCGAAUAGUAAUAAAAUAAUCCCCAGGAACCAGACUGGAAAGGGCAGCCUCUACUUUUAGGAUUUACAAAAGGUGAUUCUGUCUUGACCUGAGAACCCAUUUGACUAACGUGGUUGAUCUUUUUUUUUUCAGUUUCCACAGAGAACCAAACACAGCCAUGUGGUUUGGACCACAGUCAGCACCUUUGACGCUCCUGCCUGAGUGACCAGUUCCUCAAUAAUUAUAGGAUGACUCUUAUCCAAAUUCAAUCCUAUUCCUCUAGGUCCUGUAGCAAGCUUGACUGUGUGUGAACAUAUGUGUAAACACAUAUGUAUGUACGCAUCUGCUUUUAGCGAAGACAUCCUUUAAAUUCCCUACAGAACUAGAAGUCAGCCUUGGUUUUAAAUAUUGCGAGGUUAAGCCCUCUUCCUCCUUUCACAUCCCUCCCCAUGAAAAACCUGUGCAUUGCUACAUUACAUCAGCAUUUAGGAUUCCUAAAAUAAUGAAUAACAAUUGUAUCAGAUUUUUUAAGUGCAGUUCAUGCCAAAUUUGUGCAAUAAUUAGAAAUGCAAGCCCAAAUAGUUUUGUCUUUCUAAUAUGAAAAAAUUGCAAAUUUGUGGGAGAAAAGUGCCUACUUUGAGCUUUGCUUUGCAAAACAUGUUCAAAACCCUACCCUCCAACACCCAGUCUUGCUGGAUUUUUAAGCACUUAAUUAAUCUCAGUCAUGGGAACAAAUAAAUUUAUUUUGGAAAAUUAAUAUUACUUUUCCUUAAGGUUUUGCUAGAGGGAGCAUCAGGGAUCUGCAAGACAGAACUGUUUCUAUUCUCUGUCAGAUCUUUUAAUGGAGUUUUUAAGAACAGCUUACUAAGUUCUACUCACUUCAUUCUGCAUGUGAAAGCCCAUGCAGAAUGGGCACAAAUUUGCAGAAGCCUUAGUUACAGAGGAGAUAUUAUGAAGAUGCAGAGAAACCUGUUAUUUUUGUGAGAUGCAAUAUCCUUUCAAAGUAUUGAAACAAAAUUCUUUGGUGGAUAUAGGAUCAAUUAUUUAAGACAUGGUAGUUUGGCCCAUGUGGGGGUGUGGAUAUUCUUCAACAGCCUUUGACAUAAUUUCCAGCUGUUCUUUGAACAAGCAGAGAAGUGUGUCAGAGACCUUCAUUUUGUCAUGUUGGGCUUCCUCUUAUGGGCUUCUGUGUCAGUGGUGCUCCUGCUCUCUACACAGUGUGGUAAUGUGGUAACACACUUGGGCCUCCAAAGGCAUUCACCUAGGAAGGAACUAUGCUUGUGGCAGUCAGUUCAUGGGUAGUAGAAGGAAAGACAAAAUAAUGGCCUAAUGAAUCAACCUCAUUGAAAAAACUCACAGUUGUGACUUUUUAUAUAUGUAUAUGUAGCUAAUGAGAAGGAAGGAAGGAAAGAAACAAUAUAAGCAUAAAAAAAACUUGGGUAUAGAAUGUGUCAAAUAUGCUAAGCCCUGAUGUAGGAAGCAGUCUUAAUCUGUUGACAAAAUUUCACUGAGUUAGUUUCUAUCAAAAUACUGGUCAGCAUAAAAUUGUAACACAGAUUCCUUAGUUGUUUUGGGGUUUGGUUGUUUUGUUUCCAAUCAGUCUCUGAAGCCAAAUGGUAUGUCAAAUUUGUAAGAACAAUCUAUGACAUUCAGAGAAAUGUUGUCUAAAGAUUCAUUUGCUCCUUACUGCUUUGAUGGAGCAGAAAAUAAGUAUCAAAUAAUGGACAGAAAAGGAUUUGCUUUAAAAAGACUGAUGCUGCCAGUUUGGGGGGAAAAAAAAGGGUAAAUCACACUGCAGAUUUUAGUGCUCUGCCUUUUCAAUAAGGUACUGCAGUGUCUUCUAAUGAUUGAUACUAUGCCAACCCAAUCUCAUGUUUUUAUUUCUCUAUACAUAUUUUAUAGGUGCCUGGGUGAUACAGUUCUACUGACCACAUGGUCACGCGUCUGACACAAAAGGCUCCAAACACAUUAUGGAGUUAUGUAAAUCAGGUGUAAUAUAUUGCAACUUGACUAAGAAAGCAAUGUGUAUCCUGUUGUUUAGCUCUGUUUUACAGACUUAGUUCAAAUGAAUUACUGCUUAUACAUAAUGUGCUAGGAAAGUACUAUUACAAAUGUUUUUUACACUAUAUCAAACAUGUUGGAAUUCAGUACCAUGUUGCCAAAUUAAGAUGCUAGUAAAUCAUGUUAGAGAAUAUUGAUAGAGAAUGUAAUGAAAAAGAGACCAAAUCUUGGCAGUAUCACUGCAGAAUGCUGCUGACAAAUGGAACUUUAUGUAGGUGACUCCCAGAUACAGAUCUAGUGUUUCUAUGUGAGAAAAAUGCACCUUAAAUUAAGGUUUGUCUAAGAAGACAAUAUUAAAAUAAAAUUACAUCAAAUGCUAGCUGUCUGUGUUUCACAUAAAGAAAUUCUAGUAACAUAACCCUCCUAUAGGAAGAACAUAUAAUACAUCUCAGAAGAUUAAGCAAGAGAAACCUGAAGUGAACGCAAAAUUCCAUGAAUAGCCCUUUCAGUCAGAGAUUGCAAUAAAAUGUCAGCUGCCUUGAUCGGUCAGGUCAUCUACUUCUUUCAGUAAACAUCCUAAUUCAAUUUGUUGUCUACAGACAAGCAUUCUUGUUUGGGGGUCACUAGAGGAAACUGGAAAAUCUACCUGAAUUGAAUUCCUAUUACUUAAUUAUACUGUUCUGGAAGGUGCAUUUUUCUAAGUGAAUAUAUGGACUUCAGUGCAUAGCUGUCAUAUAAAUCACCUCAAGCACAUAUGAGGAAUGAUUUAAAGUCUAUAAUACUCUUCCCUCAUAGCCUAAUGUUAGACUUCCUGGCUAGAAUGUCAAAAGUAUUGAACAAUGCAUCUGCAAAUAUGAGCUGUGAUUUAAAAAAACUGGUGGGGAUAAUUUAUAAUUUAUGUUUUUCUACUUCUUUAUAUUUUUAAAAUUAUUAUUUCCUGAAGAUAUCCAAGUGAAAGAGUUUUGCCGUAGCAAACAAGAAUUUUAAACUGCAUAUUUUGAGUUGCCUAGCGAGUAAUAGUACUGGGUUCAAAUGUUUCCCUGCUGGCUGCCAUUUGCAAUUUACUGUUUACUCAGCUGAUUUUAAGCCUUCUGUCUCUCAGCAACUUGUUCAAAGCCACCUAAUUUCCACCUAGCCUUUCCUCUUUUUUUCCCCAUUAGUCCUGCUCCUGGCCUUUUGGGUCUUGUCUGUUCAGCUUAAAACAUAGGAAGGAUACUGCUACAAGGAUACCGGAUGGUAAAGCUGGAAGUAUACAAAUGCUAACAUGUAUCAUGGGCUUAUUUCCUCUUGUCUUUUAGAUUGCUCUGGAGGUCCCCUAAAGACUGAAUUUCACCUUGCUCUCUAGCUAUAUGGAUGUGAACUGUGUUGGAAAACAAGUAAUAUAACAAAGGGUCCAGUUGCCAUGGCAAGUCUAAGGCAGCUCCUUAGGUUCCUAAUGGUUAUUUAAAAGUAGCCCAUAACCUGGGCAGUCCCAUCAUAGGUAACGCUGUGAACUAGUAUCAUGAAAAAACUCUUUUGUCUAGCUCUUCUUCACAUUGCCUCUCAUUCCGAGCUCUCCCCAACUGACCUGCCUUAGAAUAGGCCCUGAUGACCCAUUUUGUCUCUUUAGCAGCAGUGGAUAAUUUCUUAAUCACCUAGACAACAGGAGCAGAACCUGAAUCCUGUAUUUGCAGAGCAGAACAGCUCAGCUGAAGGAUACAGCAACUGCCCAGUGAUGAGUAGUCUGAGAUGUGUGCUGGGGUCAGACUGGCAAUUUCUGGCUGACAGCUGAGCAGAUCAGCUGAACAAAUUGAAACAAAUCAAAGCUCAGGGAGGAGGUUAUACAUUUGGGGGCUACUAUCAAAAGCGUGGGUUGAUUAAUUGGGACAUGGCUGCUCAGCGAGUGGCGCCUACUGACUUUUACGGGAAGCUGCUGAUUAUUUUGGUCUGUUUGGAAAGCUGAGGAUGGAGUUUGUGUUGGCUUGGUGAGUCUUAUGCCAAGCAGCUGUUGCCAUUCUCCUCAAGCUGGACUAUCCAGGUAGGUGUUUGAAGCCCCUGUUCUAGGAAGAGAAAGUUGAAAAAGACUUCUUGGGCCA
Molecule: long non-coding RNA, 6158 nt
Organism: Taeniopygia guttata (zebra finch)
Lineage: Eukaryota; Metazoa; Chordata; Aves; Passeriformes; Estrildidae
Source: RefSeq, a predicted model, not a curated record